This 332-nucleotide ribosomal RNA is filed under the name Salmonella enterica. Its description in RNAcentral is "bacterial SSU rRNA". It matches the Rfam family "Bacterial small subunit ribosomal RNA", at positions 1 to 329 of the family's 1533-position model. Lineage: Bacteria; Pseudomonadati; Pseudomonadota; Gammaproteobacteria; Enterobacterales; Enterobacteriaceae. The record is from RNAcentral.
AAAUUGAAGAGUUUGAUCAUGGCUCAGAUUGAACGCUGGCGGCAGGCCUAACACAUGCAAGUCGAACGGUAACAGGAAGCAGCUUGCUGCUUCGCUGACGAGUGGCGGACGGGUGAGUAAUGUCUGGGAAACUGCCUGAUGGAGGGGGAUAACUACUGGAAACGGUGGCUAAUACCGCAUAACGUCGCAAGACCAAAGAGGGGGACCUUUGGGCCUCUUGCCAUCAGAUGUGCCCAGAUGGGAUUAGCUUGUUGGUGAGGUAACGGCUCACCAAGGCGACGAUCCCUAGCUGGUCUGAGAGGAUGACCAGCCACACUGGAACUGAGACACGG